Molecule: long non-coding RNA, 737 nt
Organism: Drosophila montana
Lineage: Eukaryota; Metazoa; Arthropoda; Insecta; Diptera; Drosophilidae
Exons: 2
Source: RefSeq, a predicted model, not a curated record
CCUUAUUUUUUUUAUUCUGCUGUUGAUAACUGCUUGGCAAUGGAGGCGUCUGUGGUGGAACGUUGUUAUUAUUGUUAUGGCUGCCACUAAAGCUGCUAGCCAAGCUACUAAAGCUGCUAGCCAGAGACGGAGAUCGUGAUUUCUGCUUUGGAGGUGGCAACUCUGGCAGCGAAUCCUCGGUUGCUGUGCCCCCAGCGACAGCAGUAGUGCUUGAUGCUACGGCACUGUUGUCUCCAGUAUGGCUAUUUUGUGAAGUUGAUGUUGACUGCAAUAACUGAUUGUUUGAUUCCUCUGGUAGUUCAUGGACUUCAUCGUACUCAUGAUCGUCGGUACCAAAAUCAAUCAAUCUUUAAAAUGAACAACAAUUAGUAAAAAAGCAAUACAACACUCGGUCGGUCUGCUAAAGCUUUCCAUUCCCUAUCAACAAAAAUACAUAACAAUGACGUCCCGACGCUUUUAAUCCCACAUAGUACAAUGCAAUUAUAAAGCCCCUCACAGAUGUCAAAUACUAACGCUGAUGCUAAGCUGGAAUAACACUCAAACGCUAAUUUCCAUGGGGUGGUUUUAGCUAAGGCUCGUAUUUUUAGAUGUAGUAAAUAGGCAAGAGCUCGCAAUCAAAAAAAUCAUGCCAGUAACAAGCCAAAGCCACGAGAUCAACUCACAAAACAAAGUGACCACUGUUUGACCUUUUUUAAUUGAGCACAAAUUAAAUUAGCCAUAAAAUAGAUACAAAUUAA